Molecule: long non-coding RNA, 2431 nt
Organism: Ictalurus punctatus (channel catfish)
Lineage: Eukaryota; Metazoa; Chordata; Actinopteri; Siluriformes; Ictaluridae
Source: Ensembl
UGUGUGUGUGUCAUGGUUGACAUAAAGCAAUAAGACUUUGGUGAUAAAGAUUCCUGAGCAAAACUAGACAUAUAUAUAUGUUUUGAAGGAAAUCACGUCAUGGCAAUUAAAAAAAAAGCUCAUUUCAUGUGAAGGUUUCUGAAAUAUUUGCUGGUGUUCAUAGUGUUACAUAACACCUGUACAUAUCUGUCAUUAAUAAAUCCACAUAAAACAUUUAUAAAGACUUGUUCCAAGAAGUCACUAAGAUGGCUUUGGUUCAUUUUGACGUCAGCUUGACAUUGUGUUAUAACAUUUUCCAGGUUGACUUUGCAUUUGGUAUGUCAAAGUCACUUAUGGUUCAUUUUAGUCAUUUUAGUCUAAACCCUAAUAAAUAUUAAUACUAUUAUUACAGAUAUUUAUAUAUUAUUCACAGGCCAUUAUGAGCUAUAAAUGUUGUGCAGAACAGCACAUGGCAUUAUAAUAAAUAGUGAAGCUUGGAUUAGGACAUGAUUAUAUAGUACCAAGAAAUUACUCAUAAUGCAUUAUGACAGUUUUAUGGACUUCACAGAAAAUGCUACUGUAGUUUUUCAACACAAGUUGCACCAACCAGCGCCAAGAUCAUAAGAGAAAGUGAAAUCUAUCACUUUAUUGCCUCAUUGCUUUAGAUGCAGUUUCUUCUGCUAUCGUCUAAAAUUUUACAUAACACAUUCUCAGUAGGAAAUUUGAAUGAAAUAUGGUCUUACUUUUUUCCCAGGCAUGUAAACAGAGAAAGAUUUUUGAGGCAUAAACAGCAGCCAAUGCACUACAUAACAUAGUAGAAGCUCACUCAUGAUUGUGUGAGAAAAGAUUGGUGUAUUAAUGUCCAUACUGCCUCAAGAGAUUGUAAGUCUAGCUGAUAACGGAAAAAAGUUUAAAAAAUCAAUAUCUAAUUCAAUGAAACUAAUGUGUUCAAUGAAUGAACAAUAUGGCAAUGAUGUAUCCAGCUUUAAAAGAGUUCAAUCUUUUAGAAUUGAAUCACUUGUGGUUUUCUACAUAAAAUGGCCUGCCAUCUUUUUUCUCCUAGACAGUCACCUGUAUAGCACAGAACCCUGUUGGUGAAUUUAUUUAAUAAAUUUGUAAUAUGUUACUAGAUAGUUAUCUUAUUCUUUCAUUUUACUAGUUCAUUGCCAUGGCUUAGUUAUCUCAUUCUUUCACUUAACAAGUUAAUUGCCAUUGUUAAGUUAUCUCAUUCUUUCACUUUACUAGUUCACUGCAAUUGCUUAGUUAUCUCAUUCUUUCACUUUACUAGUUCAUUGCCGUGGCUUAGUUAUCUCAUUCUUUCACUUUACUAGUUCAUGGACAUGGCUUAGUUAUUGGUUUUUGCUUGUCUGUUUGUUUGUUUUCGCUUUACAAGGCUGUUAUCAUGGGUUAUUUAUCUUGUUCCCUCACAUUACUAUGUCCUGGCCGUGGCUUAGUUAUCUCAUUCCCUCAUGUUACUAAAUUGUGGCCACGGCUUCGUUAUCCCAUUCCCAUGACUUAACAAUCUACAUUCAAUGCACUUUGUAUGUGUGUGUCUCACAUCAUGAACACGAGAGACAAAUAAAUGUAUUAUGUGUAUGGGUGGAGCGGACCCAGGGUUCACAUGUUGCCACAAUGUCACGACUGUGUUAAUAUGUAUUCUGAUUAGAGAGAGUGCUCUCCUCAACAGCCGUUGCUCAGGGACCCUGCAUAAUUACAGACACAUUCUCGCCUUGUACAAUGCAAAUCCAAAGUGACAAGGUGAAAGCUGAUCUAUACAAGGAUUCAAUGUGCAUUUGAAUUCCAGGCAUAAUUACAAUACUAAAAUUAUUAUCAUUUGAAUAAUACAAAUGGGAAUACAGUUCAGAUCGUAAUAGCAAGUGUGAAAAGGGGCUUUUCAUUUGAUUCUUAAUGCUCUUCUUGUAUUUUUAAAGUAAUUACACUUAUAGUCCUGAGGUAAAAUUAUUACUAUUAUUUAAUAUUCAAUAGAAUACAUUGUUAUAAUUCAACAUCACUGCAAUUGUGCUUUGGGCAAACUUCUCACGUCUUCAAGCCCUCGGUUCUUAUUCAACAAACCCAUAAUAUAUAAAAGUUAGUAUGUUUUUAUCGACUUCUUAUAGUUACUAGCUUGUUCAACUGGUCACUUGAAUUGAAGGAGUUUAAUCCAAACCCCAAUUCUAUAUAUUAUUUUAUAGUAAAAAGGCCUGUAGUAAAGAAAUGACGUGGUGAGUUACAAGAUUUAUAUAAUAAAGAAUUUUGUUCAACUGUGUGAAGAAGCAAUUUAGUUUCGCUGCUGUUGUCUGCUGGUACCGUCUUCGAGACAGAGAGAGAGACAGAGAGAGAAAGAGCACGAGUUGCUUGUCUUCCCCAAAGUGCGAUAAAGGAAAGGUUGUGUACAACAUGCCAGAUGCAAGGCUUUUUAACUGACAGGAAAUGAAAUGUGUCAAAUUGCCAG